Molecule: ribosomal RNA, 248 nt
Filed under: uncultured bacterium
Lineage: Bacteria
Description: partial 16S ribosomal RNA
Rfam family: Bacterial small subunit ribosomal RNA
Source: RNAcentral
CGGACGGUGAGUAACGCGUGAGGAACCUGCUUCAUGGGGACACAGUUGGAACGACUGCUAAUACCGCAUAACGUACGGGUAUCGCAUGGUAUCUGUACCAAAGAUUUAUCGCUGAGAGAUGGCCUCGCGUCUGAUUAGCUAGUUGGUAGGGUAACGGCCUACCAAGGCGACGAUCAGUAGCCGGACUGAGAGGUUGGCCGGCCACAUUGGGACUGAGAUACGGCCCAGACUCCUACGGAAGGCAGCAG